CCUCGUGAUGAUGUGCGGCUU
Molecule: microRNA, 21 nt
Filed under: Ornithorhynchus anatinus (platypus)
Lineage: Eukaryota; Metazoa; Chordata; Mammalia; Monotremata; Ornithorhynchidae
Description: oan-miR-1354-5p
Source: miRBase by way of RNAcentral